AGUGCUCUGGAAGCAGUCAUAGCCUCCCAAAUCCACUUAAUCCCUUAAUUCCUGCCUCCUGGCGCGGCAGGAGCCCACACAGAAUGCCGGCCUCGGCUUCUACCCAACAGCAUCAGCAAAGACCUGAGCCCCUCGCAGCCACUCUGCUCUGAUCACGAGGCUGGGCUCCGACAUCCUCAAACCCUGAGGCCCCCGCCUUCAGAGGCAACGUUCUCCUGCGUGGCUGGAGUUUGCUGAUGCGAAAGUGAAGAAAUCCAAGCUGCCAUACCGUGAAGAAUCUCAGGCCGAACUCCAGAGUGAGAGAGGCCACAUGGAGGGAGGGCCAGCAAACAAGAAACCAGCCUGGACAUUCCUGCUCCAAGCAGCUCCUCACUGAACACAGCUGCCUACACAAUAAGGAGAAUCACCGUCACCAGUUGAUGGGGAUCUGGAGCUUUCCAGUUUUUGAAUAAUAUGGGUAAUUCUGCUGUGAAUAUCUGUAUACAAAGCCUUUGUGUGGACAUAUGUUUUCGUUUCUCCUGGAUAAAUUUCUAGCCAGUAAUACACCAAAUACUCUUAAAUAUAUCUUCAAACUGUCUUGAAUUCUUUGGAUGACUCACAGUCACACCUCUGAGACGCAGCGGCAGUCAGAAAGGUGUCCUGGCUUGGAAUAUAUGUCCAGCCUGCCUACUGGUCUGAAAGAAAUGCAGAAUAAUUCAGAAUGCCACUCUGCAGAAAGCUGUUUGAAAGACCACACUCCAGGAGUAUUCCAGCGUCCCCUAAACCGUGAGAACAAGGCCUUCUCUCAGAGACACUCGGGGUCUUUCUCAAUGGCAAUUUGACACCAAACUUGGGCUAACUAAAGCCUUCGUCUUUAUUCUACCUUAUCAAGAUUUGAGAAGAAUCUCAUGAUUAAGUAUACAUUCCAGGUUCAUCUCCCAGAAAAUUGAUUAGCUUGGUUUUAUUUUGUCUUCCUCCACGCAUUGGGCAAAGAUAUCCAGGAGAACAUGCUCAGGAUGGGGCAAGUCUGCGCUGGGUUGUUUUCUGGUCUUCUGUGCCAGUGAUACCUAACCACCCUCAGAAUCAUCCUCACUAAUGUGUUGGUGGGACAAAUAUUAAAAUAAAAUACUCUUCCAGGAGCCUGAUGAAGACAUUACCUUUGAUGGAGUGGACAGCUGGUUUUGUUACAAGUACCUGCUGGUCGAUCGGUGCUGCAGACGAUUCCAGCAUUCUAGUUACCCCAAGCCUUGGAGUCUUUCCAGCUGAGCAUUCCGACACCACGGAAUAGAAACAACCCAUCCCUACUGCGCCCUUUACAAAUUCCUGAUCCACAGAAUCUUGAGUGUAAUGUAGUGGUUGUUUUUUUAUGCCACCAAAUUUGGGGUGGUUUGUUAUGCAGCAAUAGAAAAAUGAUACAAUAAGCAAUAAGAUAGGCCAAUAUUUCUUACACCACUCUAAGAGAAACCCUCGUGUCUUGGGAGAUACCACUAAAUUUUCUGAGAAAAAAGUGAAGGCAGGGGUGGGAGUGGUAAUUCGGUGGUCACUUACACUGUGUCUCCUCCUUAAAG
Equus caballus (horse) is the source of this 1547-nucleotide long non-coding RNA. The record is from Ensembl. NCBI's taxonomy places the organism in Eukaryota, Metazoa, Chordata, Mammalia, Perissodactyla, Equidae.